AGUGAACGCUGGCGGUAGGCCUAACACAUGCAAGUCGAACGGCAGCACAGUAAGAGCUUGCUCUUACGGGUGGCGAGUGGCGGACGGGUGCGGAAUACAUCGGAAUCUACUUUUUCGUGGGGGAUAACGUAGGGAAACUUACGCUAAUACCGCAUACGACCUACGGGUGAAAGCAGGGGAUCUUCGGACCUUGCGCGAUUGAAUGAGCCGAUGUCGGAUGAGCUAGUUGGCGGGGUAAAGGCCCACCAAGGCGACGAUCCGUAGCUGGUCUGAGGGGAUGGUCAGCCAGCCUGGAUCUGAGACACGGCACCGACUCCUACGGGGAGACGCGGUGGAGAAUAUUAGGGGAGGGAGGCAAGCCUGAUACAGGCAUACCGCGUGGGUGAAGAAGGCGUUCGGGUGGGAAAGCCCUGUUGUUGUGAGAGAAGAGCAGCAGGUUAAUACGGCGCGGUUCUGACGGUACCCAAAGAAUAAGCACCGGCUAACUUCGUG
RNAcentral lists this ribosomal RNA (492 nucleotides) under uncultured bacterium. RNAcentral's name for it is "partial 16S ribosomal RNA". It matches the Rfam family "Bacterial small subunit ribosomal RNA", at positions 30 to 507 of the family's 1533-position model. The record is from RNAcentral.